This 193-nucleotide non-coding RNA is filed under the name Tumebacillus flagellatus. RNAcentral describes it as "Lysine sequence". It matches the Rfam family "Lysine riboswitch aptamer". Rfam says of the family: Riboswitches are metabolite binding domains within certain messenger RNAs that serve as precision sensors for their corresponding targets. The record is from Rfam by way of RNAcentral. Lineage: Bacteria; Bacillati; Bacillota; Bacilli; Caryophanales; Alicyclobacillaceae.
GAGGUGAGUAGAGGCGCGAAUCGAUCAAGAGUACGUACGAGGAGAGACCGGGAUCUCAUUGAAUCGUGGGGAAAGGGACAUUCGCCGAAGUCGAGGACAUACCGGGUGACCUCAGGCUGGGUCUGCAUCGAACAGGUGCAGGACUGUCACGUGACGAAAUUCACCCGUCGUCACGUGGAGGACUAUCUCACAA